Long non-coding RNA from Peromyscus eremicus (cactus mouse), 459 nucleotides. RefSeq lists it as uncharacterized. The transcript has 3 exons. Lineage: Eukaryota; Metazoa; Chordata; Mammalia; Rodentia; Cricetidae. The record is from RefSeq and is a predicted model, not a curated record.
AUAGCUGGAUGUGUCUCUAAGGUGUGGUGAGAUGGAAGAGACCAGUCUAUGCCAUAUAAAAUGUUUGUUUAGAAACAGAUUAGUUCAUGAUUAUACUGAAAGUGUCUUUUACAUUUUGGCAGAACACUUUAAGGAGUCUUUAAGUCAAUGCUAUUUUAAAACAUGAACUUAAGUUAAUCUGAGGGAAAUGAAGAUUUCAUAGGACUCUUUCAAUACUUAAAGCACAAAGGCUUCUCAUUGAAGAAGGCGGAGUAUUUGAAGAUCACCUAUAGGGAGACAUGGGGGGAAAGAAACAGAAGAAUCCCCAGAAACUGGGAGUCAAGUAACUUGAUAUAAGCAAGAGGAAAAUAAUGAAGUGGACCCUGUCUAAACUAAGGUAGAAGGUCAAUGGGUUCCAUCUCAGGGAAACCAUAUCUGACAUUGCCGAAGUGGACAAGAACCUGAGACUAAAGCCUAGGA